CCUGCCCGGUGACCUAACGUUUAACGGCCGCGGUAUCCUAACCGUGCAAAGGUAGCGCAAUCAAUUGUCCCAUAAAUCGAGACUAGUAUGAAUGGCUAAACGAGGUCUUAACUGUCUCUUGCAGGCAAUCGGUGAAAUUGAUCUCCCUGUGCAAAAGCAGGGAUAAACCCAUAAGACGAGAAGACCCUGUGGAACUUUAAAAACAGCAGCCACCCCAAACAACAUAACCCCCCACUGGGCUCACCCACACACAAGCCACUGGCCUGCAUUUUUUCGGUUGGGGCGACCUUGGAGAAAAACAAAUCCUCCAAAAAUUAGACCACACCUCUAAACCAAGAGCAACUCCUCGACGUGCUAACAGCAACCAGACCCAAUAUAAUUGAUCAAUGGACCAAGCUACCCCAGGGAUAACAGCGCAAUCUCCUUUAAGAGUCCAUAUCGACAAGGAGGUUUACGACCUCGAUGUUGGAUCAGGACAUCCUAGUGGUGCAGAAGCUACUAAGGGUUCGUUUGUUCAACGAUUAACAAUCCNNCGUGAUCUGAGUUCAACCCAC
This 554-nucleotide ribosomal RNA is filed under the name Oenanthe hispanica hispanica. RNAcentral describes it as "partial 16S ribosomal RNA". It matches the Rfam family "Bacterial large subunit ribosomal RNA", at positions 1858 to 2619 of the family's 2925-position model. The record is from RNAcentral. Lineage: Eukaryota; Metazoa; Chordata; Aves; Passeriformes; Muscicapidae.